AAUAUUUCACAAUGGGGGAAACGCUGAUGCAGCAACGCCGCGUGAGCGAUGAAGGCAUUCGGGUCGUGAAGCUCUGUCCUAAGGGAAGAUAAUGACGGUACCUUAAGAGGAAGCCCCGGCUCACUACGUGCCAGCAGCCGCGGUAAUACGUAGGGGGCGAGCGUUAUCCGGAAUUAUUGGGCGUAAAGGGUUCGUAGGCGGCCUUUUGAGUCAGAUGUGAAAGGCUACGGCUUAACCGUAGUUAGCAUUUGAAACUAAAAGGCUUGAGUGCAGGAGAGGAGAGUGGAAUUCCUAGUGUAGCGGUGAAAUGCGUAGAUAUUAGGAGGAACACCAGUGGCGAAGGCGACUCUCUGGACUGCAACUGACGCUGAGGCACGAAAGCGUGGGGAGCGAACAG
RNAcentral lists this ribosomal RNA (397 nucleotides) under uncultured bacterium. RNAcentral describes it as "partial 16S ribosomal RNA". It matches the Rfam family "Bacterial small subunit ribosomal RNA", at positions 360 to 775 of the family's 1533-position model. The record is from RNAcentral.